RNAcentral lists this ribosomal RNA (476 nucleotides) under uncultured bacterium. RNAcentral describes it as "bacterial SSU rRNA". It matches the Rfam family "Bacterial small subunit ribosomal RNA", at positions 30 to 523 of the family's 1533-position model. The record is from RNAcentral.
AUUGAACGCUGGCGGCAUGCCUUACCCAUGCAAGUCGAACGGCAGCACGGGAGCAAUCCUGGUGGCGAGUGGCGAACGGGUGAGUAAUAUAUCGGAACGUGCCCGGUCGUGGGGAUAACGUAGCGAAAGCUACGCUAAUACCGCAUACGAUCUACGGAUGAAAGCGGGGGAGUCGCAAGACCUCGCGCGAUUGGAGCGGCCGAUAUCAGAUUAGGUAGUUGGUGAGGUAAAGGCUCACCAAGCCGACGAUCUGUAGCUGGUCUGAGAGGACGACCAGCCACACUGGGACUGAGACACGGCCCAGACUCCUACGGGAGGCAGCAGUGGGGAAUAUUGGACAAUGGGCGAAUGCCUGAUCCAGCAAUGCCGCGUGAGUGAUGAAGGACCUUAGGGUUGUAAAGCUCUUUUACCCGAGAUGAUAAUGACAGUAUCGGGAGAAUAAGCUCCGGCUAACUCCGUGCCAGCAGCCGCGGUAA